GGUUAAGCGACUAAGCGUACACGGUGGAUGCCCUGGCAGUCAGAGGCGAUGAAGGACGUGCUAAUCUGCGAAAAGCGUCGGUAAGGUGAUAUGAACCGUUAUAACCGGCGAUGUCCGAAUGGGGAAACCCAGUGUGAUUCGUCACACUAUCGUUAACUGAAUACAUAGGUUAACGAGGCGAACCGGGGGAACUGAAACAUCUAAGUACCCCGAGGAAAAGAAAUCAACCGAGAUUCCCCCAGUAGCGGCGAGCGAACGGGGAGCAGCCCAGAGUCUGAAUCAGCUUGUGUGUUAGUGGAACGGUCUGGAAAGUCCGACGGUACAGGGUGAUAGUCCCGUACACCAAAAUGCACAGGCUGUGAACUCGAAGAGUAGGGCGGGACACGUGGUAUCCUGUCUGAAUAUGGGGGGACCAUCCUCCAAGGCUAAAUACUCCUGACUGACCGAUAGUGAACCAGUACCGUGAGGGAAAGGCGAAAAGAACCCCGGCGAGGGGAGUGAAAAAGAACCUGAAACCGUGUACGUACAAGCAGUGGGAGCACCUUCGGGUGUGACUGCGUACCUUUUGUAUAAUGGGUCAGCGACUUAUAUUCUGUAGCAAGGUUAACCGUAUAGGGGAGCCGCAGGGAAACCGAGUCUUAACUGGGCGUUAAGUUGCAGGGUAUAGACCCGAAACCCGGUGAUCUAGCCAUGGGCAGGUUGAAGGUUGGGUAACACUAACUGGAGGACCGAACCGACUAAUGUUGAAAAAUUAGCGGAUGACUUGUGGCUGGGGGUGAAAGGCCAAUCAAACCGGGAGAUAGCUGGUUCUCCCCGAAAGCUAUUUAGGUAGCGCCUCGUGAACUCAUCUUCGGGGGUAGAGCACUGUUUCGGCUAGGGGGUCAUCCCGACUUACCAACCCGAUGCAAACUACGAAUACCGAAGAAUGUUAUCACGGGAGACACACGGCGGGUGCUAACGUCCGUCGUGAAGAGGGAAACAACCCAGACCGCCAGCUAAGGUCCCAAAGUCAUGGUUAAGUGGGAAACGAUGUGGGAAGGCACAGACAGCCAGGAUGUUGGCUUAGAAGCAGCCAUCAUUUAAAGAAAGCGUAAUAGCUCACUGGUCGAGUCGGCCUGCGCGGAAGAUGUAACGGGGCUAAACCAUGCACCGAAGCUGCGGCAGCGACACUAUGUGUUGUUGGGUAGGGGAGCGUUCUGUAAGCCUGCGAAGGUGUGCUGUGAGGCAUGCUGGAGGUAUCAGAAGUGCGAAUGCUGACAUAAGUAACGAUAAAGCGGGUGAAAAGCCCGCUCGCCGGAAGACCAAGGGUUCCUGUCCAACGUUAAUCGGGGCAGGGUGAGUCGACCCCUAAGGCGAGGCCGAAAGGCGUAGUCGAUGGGAAACAGGUUAAUAUUCCUGUACUUGGUGUUACUGCGAAGGGGGGACGGAGAAGGCUAUGUUAGCCGGGCGACGGUUGUCCCGGUUUAAGCAUGUAGGCUGAUUGUCCAGGCAAAUCCGGAUAAUCAAGGCUGAGGUGUGAUGACGAGGCACUACGGUGCUGAAGUAACAAAUGCCCUGCUUCCAGGAAAAGCCUCUAAGCAUCAGGUAACAUUAAAUCGUACCCCAAACCGACACAGGUGGUCAGGUAGAGAAUACCAAGGCGCUUGAGAGAACUCGGGUGAAGGAACUAGGCAAAAUGGUGCCGUAACUUCGGGAGAAGGCACGCUGGUGUGUAGGUGAAGUCCCUGCGGAUGGAGCUGAGACCAGUCGAAGAUACCAGCUGGCUGCAACUGUUUAUUAAAAACACAGCACUGUGCAAACACGAAAGUGGACGUAUACGGUGUGACGCCUGCCCGGUGCCGGAAGGUUAAUUGAUGGGGUUAUCCGUAAGGAGAAGCUCUUGAUCGAAGCCCCGGUAAACGGCGGCCGUAACUAUAACGGUCCUAAGGUAGCGAAAUUCCUUGUCGGGUAAGUUCCGACCUGCACGAAUGGCGUAAUGAUGGCCAGGCUGUCUCCACCCGAGACUCAGUGAAAUUGAACUCGCUGUGAAGAUGCAGUGUACCCGCGGCAAGACGGAAAGACCCCGUGAACCUUUACUAUAGCUUGACACUGAACAUUGAGCCUUGAUGUGUAGGAUAGGUGGGAGGCUUUGAAGCGUGGACGCCAGUCUGCGUGGAGCCAACCUUGAAAUACCACCCUUUAAUGUUUGAUGUUCUAACGUUGGCCCCUGACCGGGGUUGCGGACAGUGUCUGGUGGGUAGUUUGACUGGGGCGGUCUCCUCCCAAAGCGUAACGGAGGAGCACGAAGGUUAGCUAAUCCUGGUCGGACAUCAGGAGGUUAGUGCAAUGGCAUAAGCUAGCUUGACUGCGAGCGUGACGGCGCGAGCAGGUGCGAAAGCAGGUCAUAGUGAUCCGGUGGUUCUGAAUGGAAGGGCCAUCGCUCAACGGAUAAAAGGUACUCCGGGGAUAACAGGCUGAUACCGCCCAAGAGUUCAUAUCGACGGCGGUGUUUGGCACCUCGAUGUCGGCUCAUCACAUCCUGGGGCUGAAGUAGGUCCCAAGGGUAUGGCUGUUCGCCAUUUAAAGUGGUACGCGAGCUGGGUUUAGAACGUCGUGAGACAGUUCGGUCCCUAUCUGCCGUGGGCGCUGGAGAAUUGAGGGGGGCUGCUCCUAGUACGAGAGGACCGGAGUGGACGCAUCACUGGUGUUCGGGUUGUCAUGCCAAUGGCACUGCCCGGUAGCUAAAUGCGGAAGAGAUAAGUGCUGAAAGCAUCUAAGCACGAAACUUGCCCCGAGAUGAGUUCUCCCUGAGACUUUAAGUCUCCUGAAGGAACGUUGAAGACGACGACGUUGAUAGGCCGGGUGUGUAAGCGCAGCGAUGCGUUGAGCUAACCGGUACUAAUGAACCGUGAGGCUUAACCUU
RNAcentral lists this ribosomal RNA (2902 nucleotides) under Klebsiella pneumoniae. RNAcentral describes it as "23S ribosomal RNA". It matches the Rfam family "Bacterial large subunit ribosomal RNA". The record is from RNAcentral. Lineage: Bacteria; Pseudomonadati; Pseudomonadota; Gammaproteobacteria; Enterobacterales; Enterobacteriaceae.